RNAcentral lists this ribosomal RNA (728 nucleotides) under uncultured bacterium. Its description in RNAcentral is "partial 16S ribosomal RNA". It matches the Rfam family "Bacterial small subunit ribosomal RNA", at positions 8 to 717 of the family's 1533-position model. The record is from RNAcentral.
AGAGUUUGAUCCUGGCUCAGAUUGAACGCUGGCGGCAUGCCUUACACAUGCAAGUCGAACGGCAGCACGGGAGCAAUCCUGGUGGCGAGUGGCGAACGGGUGAGUAAUAUAUCGGAACGUGCCCAGUCGUGGGGGAUAACGCAGCGAAAGCUGUGCUAAUACCGCAUACGAUCUACGGAUGAAAGCGGGGGACUCGCAAGAGCCUCGCGCGAUUGGAGCGGCCGAUAUCAGAUUAGCUAGUUGGUGGGGUAAAAGCCCACCAAGGGCGACGAUCUGUAGCUGGUCUGAGAGGACGACCAGCCACACUGGAACUGAGACACGGUCCANACUCCUACGGGAGGCAGCAGUGGGGAAUUUUGGACAAUGGGCGCAAGCCUGAUCCAGCAAUGCCGCGUGCAUGAUGAAGGCCUUCGGGUUGUAAACUGCUUUUGUNCGGAACGAAACGGNUCUACCCCUAAUACGGUGGGGCUAAUGACGGGUACCGUANGAAUAAGCACCGGCUAACUACGUGCCAGCNGCCGCGGNUAAUACGUAGGGUGCGAGGCGUUGAUCGNAAUUACUGGGGCGUAAAGCGUGCNCAGGCGGNUAUGUANGACAGAUGUGAAAUCCCCGGGCUCAACCUGGGACCUGCNUUUGUGACUGCAUNGCUAGAGUACGGUAGAGGGGGAUGGAAUCCCCCGNUGUAGCAGGGAGANGCGUUAGAUAUGCGGGNGGAANACCGAUGGGCG